UACAGAGACUCCAAGCGUUAUUCGGAUUCACUGGGCGUAAAGGGUGCGCAGGCGGCCAAGUGUGUCGGAGGUGAAAUACUGCAGCUUAACUGUAGAGGUGCCUUCGAAACUACUUGGCUAGAGUAUCGGAGAGGCAAGUGGAAUUCCUGGUGUAGCAGUGAAAUGCGUAGAUAUCAGGAGGAACACCGAUGGCGAAGGCAACUUGCUGGACGAUUACUGACGCUCAGGCACGAAAGCAUGGGGAGCGAAAGGG
Molecule: unclassified non-coding RNA, 253 nt
Filed under: uncultured Verrucomicrobiota bacterium
Lineage: Bacteria; Pseudomonadati; Verrucomicrobiota
Description: uncultured Verrucomicrobia bacterium contains 16S-23S intergenic spacer region
Rfam family: Bacterial small subunit ribosomal RNA
Source: RNAcentral